AAAGGUACGAUAUAUUACAACCAUAGUUUGAAACAACUUAAUCAUGCAGGUCAGCGUGGUUCUUAAGAAUUUAAAAAUAACAUUUAAGUUUUAUUCUAGAGUAUCAUGAGACUCAUAAGAUACCCUAGGUCUUCAGGGCUUCCUCUUCGGUGGGUCCCUGCUGGCUUUCUGAAAACAACAACAAGGGAUCCCCUGAGUACGAAGUACUCAGCAAGUCUUACCCGACUAACCAAUAUAAUAGUUUUUCUUUGGAAUGCAUGUCAGCCUUUGGGUGUGCUUGGUUGACACAAUUUUGCCAGAAAAGCUUACUAUAAGUGAGGCCUUAGUUUUAUCUUUUAUUUGAGUUAAGUCAUUACCUAACCAUUCUAGAUGAUAACAGAAGUAAAAGCAAUCACAGCGGUUAAAUCAUACAGUACUUGUCAACAGGAGAUUUUAUAUUGCAUGAGUUUAUAUUACGAUGCUUAACAGCGAUCAAGUGCAUUCAUAACCGAGAAUUGCGGCGAUCCGGACCAUAUUACAUCCUGUAGGAGAGUACCCUGAUCACCAGCAUUAUACGACUGUUCUGGUCGUAUCUCACAACCUCUCGAUUAGCAAAGUCAAUGAUUAGGAAUACAACUACCCGGACCCAGGGAUACACCCCCACAUGGGACCCCACGUCUGGCCUGAUCUCCAUGUGAGUUUCAGGCUACACCCCUGCCAAUCUCCAGCACGUCAAAUGCGGGUACGAAGCAUUCCUGAUCAUAGAAUUUACUAAUCUACUAGGCUUUACUGGUCCCAUACCUAGUAAGUGAUUAGAGGUUAUCACUUGAUCAAUGGUUAAGACACGGAUCGGUCCUUAACCAGAUUAAUCUAGCAGACAGAACUACAUCUCUAGCUUCUGUCUGGUUCCAUGUUCCAAACUAUCUUUCAUAAGCAACAUGUAUGACUUUAAGUGUUUGCCUUAAGGUUGGUAAACCAAGCAGGUAAGCAAGUAAGCAAUUCUAGACUUGGGUAGUUUCUAAGAUUUGAACAAGUGGCAAAGAUGUCCUUACAUCAAGGCAGGAUCAUACACAAGAAUAGGUUUCAUCCAACUCCUAGACUUAGUGCAUACAAUAAACAAAUAACCUAUAACUAGUCACAUGAAAUGACGACUCUAAAAAUAGAUAGGUAUAAAUGCACCGGGGCUUGCCUGGGAUCAACAAGGUUAGUUCUUCGGAAAACUUGUUUAUUAAAAGAGGCACUCCACACUUCGCGAACGCUGUCCAUCUCCAGCUGAAUUCCAUGAAUUCCCACUCCAGGAGUUGUGACGUCUACGAUCCAGUAUAUGCAAGAGUAGAGUUAGAGAUGCAAAUUUUUGAAUACAAGACUAUACAACUUUCCUUCAUGAUAAAGUUGCAAGCCAACAAGGACUAUAUAAUUUAUCAUGAUAAAGUUGCAAGCCAACACUCAAAAGCCCUAAAGAUUAGCCCACCAUUUUUAUUUCUUUUACUAAACCUACCUUAGACCUCUUCUUUUAUUUUUAAAAGCAUUAUACUAAUUUUCUAAUCUCAAAAACCUAAUUCUUAUGAAUUAAUAAUAAUUUGUAGAUAAUAAAGCAUUUUUCAAGUUUUAUACAUUUAAUAAGGUUUAAGCAUUUAUUUAAAUACCUUACAAAAAGGCAUUAAAUAAAUACCUAAAUUUUUAUUAUUUUUCCUAGGGUUUAAGAAUUUUAAUGCAUAAAGGAAAAUAAAACAAUCCUAAUAAAAUUGGUUUCACUAAUUUUGGGCACUUCUAGAAUUUCCGGUGAAUUAAAUGGUGAAAACAAUAUUUAAUCUAUUUAUCUAAUAAAGAAAACCUAAGGUUUAAUAAAAACCCCGGCCCAAACUUCUCUCACCUAACCUCCUUCUACCCACUAUCACUUCCACCUAGGGCCCACCCGACCUCCUACUUCUUCCCUCUUUUCUUCACUAACGCGUGGGGCCCACGGCCUAACUUUCUUCUUCUCAACCAUUCGCUGGCCCACUCUUUUCUUUCUUCUAUUUCCUCUUGGGCCGCACGGCUCGGUUCCUUCUGAAUGAAAAACGGCCCACCGGUUCUUUUCUUUUCCGCUUGACCGGCCUGUUAAUCCGGCCCACUUUCUUCCUUCUUCACUUCCCCCUGGGCCACACGGUCCAAUUUCCGUUCAAGCCAUCGGGCAGCCCACCGGCUUCCCCCUUUUCUUUUUACUCGCGCGGGUCAGCUGGGCCGAUUCCUCCCCCUUGGCCCACGAACGGACGGCUGGCCCUCAUUUCUUUUUUUUCUCACUCCCACCUGGGCUUCCCCCACCGGGACUUGGCCUCCCGGCCCAAACUCACCGACCGGCCUGCUUCCCCCCCUCCUUCUUCUUUUAUGCAGCGCGGGCCGGCUGGGCCGGUGCUUUUCUUCGGCCCAAAACGUCUGCCGGCCCUUAUCCUUUUACUUCCCUCCCUCCUGUGCAGCUGACGGGCGGCCCCCUUGGUCAGGGGGCUUCUUCCUCCCCCGACCAAGGCCGGGCGCACGCCGGCGGGAGAAGGACGGGGCAGCCCGGCCGAUGGCGGCUCUCCGGCGGCUCGAGAGGGACGGGGCGGCGGUGCCUAAGGUCAGGCGCACCCGCGCCCACCGCUAGCUCGCCGGGAGGCGGCCCGAGCCGGCCCCUCCACGGGCGGCCGCGGCUUGGCCACCGGCCGGCCAUGGCGGCGCACGGAGACGGCUCAAGAGGCUUCCACGACUCCCCCUUCAGCUUCCAAACUCUCGCAGGACGUCCCUAGGCCCGCUAAUUGAGAAGAAACAUUCGGUUCAGGGGCUCACCUUGGGGAUUGGGUGACGGCGGCCGGCGGACAGUAACGGCGGCGAUUACUGGCUUGCCGACGGGGAGAUGAACUUCGGUUGGGUUGAGGGUGUCAUAGAGGGGUUAUGGAAGCUGCUUGAUGGGUGAAACAGGAGGGGAGACAGCGGCGUGGGUGGAUUGGCCGGCAGCGUCGUCGCUUGACCGAGCUCUGGUUCGCAUGGCAGACGAAGAAGCGGAGGGUUAAACGAAUGAGGCAGAGCGAUAGAGAUGUGAGUCUUCACCGUGCAUGCGCGCCACCUUGAC
Molecule: long non-coding RNA, 3067 nt
Filed under: Setaria viridis
Lineage: Eukaryota; Viridiplantae; Streptophyta; Magnoliopsida; Poales; Poaceae
Description: long non-coding RNA (SVIR_LNC009000)
Source: RNAcentral